GACUGGAGGCCCGAACCCACUUAUGUUGAAAAAUGAGGGGAUGAGCUGUGGAUCGGAGUGAAAGGCUAAUCAAGCCCGGAGAUAGCUGGUUCUCCUCGAAAUCUAUUUAGGUAGAGCCUCAUGUAUCACUCUAGGGGGUAGAGCACUGUUAUGGCUAGGGGGUCAUCCCGACUUACCAACCCGAUGCAAACUCCGAAUACCUGUGAGUGCAAUCACGGCAGACAGACAGCGGGUGCUAACGUCCGUUGUCGAAAGGGCAACAACCCAGACCGCCAGCUAAGGUCCCAAAUUUAUAGUUAAGUGGGAAACGAUGUGGGAAGGCUCAGACAGCUAGGAGGUUGGCUUAGAAGCAGCCACCCUUUAAAG
RNAcentral lists this ribosomal RNA (366 nucleotides) under Isochrysis galbana. RNAcentral's name for it is "partial Bacterial large subunit ribosomal RNA". It matches the Rfam family "Bacterial large subunit ribosomal RNA", at positions 764 to 1128 of the family's 2925-position model. Lineage: Eukaryota; Haptophyta; Isochrysidales; Isochrysidaceae. The record is from RNAcentral.